UNCAGUCCAUGUUUCCCAGGUAGGCCUCCU
RNAcentral lists this non-coding RNA (30 nucleotides) under Mus musculus (house mouse). Lineage: Eukaryota; Metazoa; Chordata; Mammalia; Rodentia; Muridae. The record is from RNAcentral.